CCUACGGGAGGCAGCAGUGAGGAAUAUUGGUCAAUGGACGUAAGUCUGAACCAGCCAAGUCGCGUGAAGGAUGACUGUUCUAUGGGUCGUAAACUUCUUUUAUAAGGGAAUAAAGUGUGGGACGUGUCCCAUUUUGUAUGUACCUUAUGAAUAAGGAUCGGCUAACUCCGUGCCAGCAGCCGCGGUAAUACGGAGGAUCCGAGCGUUAUCCGGAUUUAUUGGGUUUAAAGGGUGCGUAGGCGGGCUUUUAAGUCAGGGGUGAAAGUUUGCGGUUCAACCGUAAAAUUGCGGUUGAUACUGGCGGGCUUGAGUAUGGUUGAGGUAGGCGGAAUGCGUGGUGUAGCGGUGAAAUGCUUAGAUAUCACGAAGAACCCCGAUUGCGAAGGCAGCCUGCCAAGCUAUGACUGACGCUGAUGCACGAAAGCGUGGGGAUCAAACAGGAUUAGAUACCCUUGUAGUC
Molecule: ribosomal RNA, 460 nt
Filed under: uncultured bacterium
Lineage: Bacteria
Description: partial 16S ribosomal RNA
Rfam family: Bacterial small subunit ribosomal RNA
Source: RNAcentral